UAAUCUCUCACCCUUGGACUGCAAAGUUCAUGUCGGUGGAUUUGGGUGCUGCCGUUGUUGGCUCGCCUUGAAAUGCAUUAGCCUUUGGCUCCCGUGCGGGGUCGUCGCGGUGUGAUAGUUACUUUGCAUCGUUGACCUUGUGCUGACCGAGGCUCAUAGUCGUCUUCGGACAAUUAUUCGAA
This 182-nucleotide unclassified non-coding RNA is filed under the name uncultured Basidiomycota. Its description in RNAcentral is "sequence contains ITS2". Lineage: Eukaryota; Fungi; Basidiomycota. The record is from RNAcentral.